GAUGAAGAACGCAGCGAAAUGCGAUAAGUAAUGUGAAUUGCAGAAUUCAGUGAAUCAUCGAAUCUUUGAACGCACAUUGCGCCCCCUCGUAUUCCGGGGGGCAUGCCUGUCCGAGCGUCAUUACAACCCUCAAGCUCAGCUUGGUGUUGGGCCCCGCCGCCCCGGCGGGCCCUAAAGUCAGUGGCGGUGCCGUCCGGCUCCGAGCGUAGUAAUUCUUCUCGCUCUGGAGGUCCGGUCGUGUGCUCGCCAGCAACCCCCAAUUUUUUUCAGGUUGACCUCGGAUCAGGUAGGGAUACCCGCUGAACUUAAGCAUAUCAAUAAGCGGAGGA
RNAcentral lists this unclassified non-coding RNA (329 nucleotides) under soil metagenome. RNAcentral describes it as "partial contains 5.8S ribosomal RNA, internal transcribed spacer 2, and large subunit ribosomal RNA". The stretch from base 1 to 120 matches the Rfam family "5.8S ribosomal RNA", at positions 35 to 154 of the family's 154-position model. The record is from RNAcentral.